UACGUAGGGUGCAAGCGUUGUCCGGAAUUAUUGGGCGUAAAGAGCUCGUAGGCGGUCUGUCGCGUCUGCUGUGAAAACUCAGGGCUUAACCCUGAGCUUGCAGUGGGUACGGGCAGACUAGAGUGCGGUAGGGGAGACUGGAAUUCCUGGUGUAGCGGUGGAAUGCGCAGAUAUCAGGAAGAACACCGGUGGCGAAGGCGGCUCUCUGGGCCUUACCUGACGCUGAGGAGCGAAAGCGUGGGUAGCGAACAGG
Molecule: ribosomal RNA, 253 nt
Filed under: uncultured bacterium
Lineage: Bacteria
Description: partial 16S ribosomal RNA
Rfam family: Bacterial small subunit ribosomal RNA
Source: RNAcentral